RNAcentral lists this small RNA (278 nucleotides) under Nitrosomonas nitrosa. RNAcentral describes it as "5_ureB_sRNA". It matches the Rfam family "5' ureB small RNA". The record is from RNAcentral. Lineage: Bacteria; Pseudomonadati; Pseudomonadota; Betaproteobacteria; Nitrosomonadales; Nitrosomonadaceae.
CUGCUUGUUGGGGGGAUAUAAAGUGGAUAUGAACAUCCAACGCGCCAGCCGUGACUAUCUGCCCUUCACCGGCGAUAAUUUCGGUGGCUGCGCCAAUGGCCAUGGUCACGUUGGGUUGAAUAUCCGGGUUGCCAGCCUUGCCGAUCGCGGCGAUUUUGCCAUUCUUGAUGCCGAUAUCUGCUUUAACGAUGCCCCAAUGAUCAAUGAUGGUGGCAUUAGUAAUCACAGUAUCCAUGACUUCGUUGUGAUUACGCUGUGAUUGACCCAUACCAUCCCGG